RNAcentral lists this ribosomal RNA (466 nucleotides) under uncultured Hydrogenophaga sp. RNAcentral's name for it is "bacterial SSU rRNA". It matches the Rfam family "Bacterial small subunit ribosomal RNA", at positions 917 to 1381 of the family's 1533-position model. The record is from RNAcentral. Lineage: Bacteria; Pseudomonadati; Pseudomonadota; Betaproteobacteria; Burkholderiales; Comamonadaceae.
GACGGGACCGCACAAGCGGUGGAUGAUGUGGUUUAAUUCGAUGCAACGCGAAAACUUACCACCUUUGACAUGUAUGGAAGUUUCCAGAGAUGGAUUCGUGCUCGAAAGAGAGCCAUAACACAGGUGCUGCAUGGCUGUCGUCAGCUCGUGUCGUGAGAUGUUGGGUUAAGUCCCGCAACGAGCGCAACCCUUGUCAUUAGUUGCUACAUCUGGUUGGGCACUCUAAUGAGACUGCCGGUGGACAAACCGGAGGAAGGUGGGGAUGACGUCAAGUCCUCAUGGCCCUUAUAGGUGGGGCUACACACGUCAUACAACGGCCGGUACAAAGGGUCGCAAACCCGCGAGGGGGAGCCAAUCCAUCAAAGCCGGUCGUAGUCCGGAUUGGAGUCUGCAACUCGACUCCAUGAAGUUGGAAUCGCUAGUAAUCGCGGAUCAGCACGCCGCGGUGAAUACGUUCCCGGGCCUU